AUGCCGCUGCGUGGGCGCGGCCGCAGCCUCCUGCUUCUCGUCGUCGUGCUGUGGUGCUCCGCGCUCCGGUGCGCCGCGCCGGACCUCGCCGCGGACCGCGCGGCGCUGCUCGCGUUCCGGGCCGCGGUCGGCCCGGGGCUCCCGUGGGACGUGUCGGCCGGGGUCUCGCCGUGCGGGUGGCGCGGCGUCGGCUGCGACAACAGCACCGGAGGCGGCCGCGUCGUCGCGCUGCAGCUCCCCGGCGCCGGCCUGAUCGGUCAGCUGCCGCUGGGGACCGUGGGCAACCUCACCGCGCUCAGGGCGCUGUCGCUCCGCUCCAACGCGCUCUCUGGCGGGAUCCCCACGGACAUCGGCAACUGCGGGGAGCUCCGGUACCUCUACCUCCAGGACAACAAGCUCGCCGGAGAGAUACCGGAGGGGUUCUUCUCGCUCGGCUUGCUGCAGCGGCUCGUCCUCUCGAAUAAUCGUUUCUCUGGCCGUGUGUCGCUGGAGUUCAACAAGCUCCGCCGGCUGGCCACUCUGUACUUGGAGAACAACGUCCUUAAUGGCACCCUCCCUGCCGACCUUGAUCUCCCUAAUCUUCAGCUGUUCAACGUGUCCGACAACCAGCUCAACGGCCCUGUGCCAGCGUCGCUCGCCGGAAGACCGGCCAACGCCUUUAGUGGGACAGCGCUAUGCGGCGCCCCUCUAAGCCCGUGCGCGAACACUUCGCCGCCGCCACCACCGCCGUCUCCAUUGCCAUUGCCUCCUCCGGCCUCUCCUGAGGACAGCAAGAGCAGCAAGCUCUCCACUGCCGCGAUCGCCGGUAUUGCUGCGGGCGCCGUCGCGGCGCUCUUGGUGGUGCUCGCCGUGAUCUUCUUCCUGCUCUGUUGCCGUCGUCGCAAGACAAAUAAGGCCGACACUUCCACCGAGACGGCGGCCUACGGCGACGAGGACGCGUCACCGGAGACGGUGUCCGUGGCGAGGGCGGAGAAGAGCGGCGUGAAGCCGUCGCGCUCCUCGAAGCCGACGGCCAGCGACGCCAAGAAGCUGGUGUUCGUGGGAGGUGAGCCGGAGGUGGCCUACGAACUGGAAUCGCUGCUGCACGCGUCGGCCGAGGUGCUCGGGAAGGGCUGGCUGGGCACGACGUACCGCGCCACGCUCGAGGGCGGCGUCGCCGUGGUGACCGUCAAGAGGCUGAGGGAGGUGCCCAUCCCGGAGAAGGAGUUCCGCGGUACGGUGGCCGCGCUCGGCGCGCUCCGCCACGACAACCUGGUGCCGCUCCGCUCGUACUUCUACAGCAAGGAGGAGAAGCUCAUCGUCUACGACUUCGUGAGCGCCAAAGGCCUCUCCUCCCUUCUCCACGGCGCGGGCAGCGAGCGCCUCGACUUCACGGCGCGGGCGCGCAUUGCGCUGGCGUCGGCGCGCGGCAUCGCCUUCAUCCACGGCGCCGGCGCCGGCUCGUCCCACGGCAACAUCAAGUCGUCCAACAUCCUCGUCAAUGACGCGCGCGACGGCGCCUACGUGGCCGACUACGGCCUUGUCCAGCUCGUCGGCGCCAGCGUGCCGCUGAAGCGCGUGACGGGGUAUCGCGCCCCGGAGGUGACGGACCCGCGUAGGGCGUCGCAGGAGGCCGACGUGUACAGCUUCGGCGUGCUGCUCCUGGAGCUGCUCACCGGGAAGGCCCCCGCGAACUCGGUGCCGGGGAGCGACGGCGCCGCGGACCUGCCGCAGUGGGUGGGCACGGUGGUGCAGGAGGAGUGGACGGGCGAGGUGUUCGACGCCAGCAUCGCCAACGAGGCGCUCGUGGAGGAGGAGAUGGUGCGGCUGCUGCAGCUGGGCACGGAGUGCACCGAGCGGCGGCCCGACCGGCGGCCCGCGAUGGCCGAGGUUGCCGCGAGGAUAGAGGACAUCGUCGGCAGCGUGCAGCGGAAGACGGACUCGGCCGAGUUCCACAGCGUGUCCGCCGACCAUUCGGCGUAG
Molecule: ribosomal RNA, 1962 nt
Filed under: Triticum aestivum (bread wheat)
Lineage: Eukaryota; Viridiplantae; Streptophyta; Magnoliopsida; Poales; Poaceae
Description: partial small subunit ribosomal RNA
Source: RNAcentral